UACGUAGGGAGCGAGCGUUGUCCGGAAUCAUUGGGCGUAAAGAGCAUGUAGGUGGAUCAAUUAGUCUGCUGUGAAAGUCAAAGGCUCAACCUUUGAAAGCCGGUGGAUACUGCCGGACUAGAGUUCGGAAGAGGCGAGUGGAAUUCCCGGUGUAGCGGUGAAAUGCGCAGAUAUCGGGAGGAACACCAAUGGCGAAGGCAGCUCGCUGGGACGUUACUGACGCUGAGACGCGAAAGCGUGGGGAGCAAACAGG
Molecule: ribosomal RNA, 253 nt
Filed under: uncultured bacterium
Lineage: Bacteria
Description: partial 16S ribosomal RNA
Rfam family: Bacterial small subunit ribosomal RNA
Source: RNAcentral